AUUAUUUUAGUAUAAAUAGUACAACUGACUUCCAAUCAGUAAGAUUGAAUAAAAACAAAAAUAAUA
Molecule: transfer RNA, 66 nt
Filed under: Aularches miliaris
Lineage: Eukaryota; Metazoa; Arthropoda; Insecta; Orthoptera; Pyrgomorphidae
Description: tRNA-Gly
Rfam family: tRNA
About the family: Transfer RNA (tRNA) molecules are approximately 80 nucleotides in length. Their secondary structure includes four short double-helical elements and three loops (D, anti-codon, and T loops). Further hydrogen bonds mediate the characteristic L-shaped molecular structure. tRNAs have two regions of fundamental functional importance: the anti-codon, which is responsible for specific mRNA codon recognition, and the 3' end, to which the tRNAs corresponding amino acid is attached (by aminoacyl-tRNA synthetases). tRNAs cope with the degeneracy of the genetic code in two manners: having more than one tRNA (with a specific anti-codon) for a particular amino acid; and 'wobble' base-pairing, i.e. permitting non-standard base-pairing at the 3rd anti-codon position.
Source: RNAcentral